Dioscorea cayenensis subsp. rotundata (Guinea yam) is the source of this 277-nucleotide long non-coding RNA. RefSeq lists it as uncharacterized. The record is from RefSeq and is a predicted model, not a curated record. Lineage: Eukaryota; Viridiplantae; Streptophyta; Magnoliopsida; Dioscoreales; Dioscoreaceae. The transcript is spliced from 2 exons.
UUCUACUGACCAUGGACUUGGGACGGCAAUCAGUGAGCAAUAUAACUCAAACCAGAAACUGAAGGAAAGAGAUUUUGAGCUUGAGGCCACCAAAACCAAGAGGAUCCUGAUCGGUUUCAACUUGGAUAAUUACCCUCGCAUUACAUGUAUUAUCUUAUCAUUUAUAGCCAAUGUUGGCUUUGUUCCAGUCAUGGCAAAUUCAGUAUCGUUUGUUUGGCAACUCUGCUGUACUAUUUGCAAACAUACCUUUUUUGAAUGUAGCUUUCUGUUGUCUCUA